CGGUGUUUAACUGGCGUGAUGUGGGACGUCCUACCGGUGGGCUUAGCCUCGCGAGGGGCGGCCCAACUAAUAUCCCGUCGCGGUGCUCUUUACUGAGUGUCGAGUCGGGCCGGUACGUUUACUUUGAACAAAUUAGAGUGCUUAAAGCAGGCUAUCCUCGCCUGAAUACUGCGUGCAUGGAAUAAUGGAAUAGGACCUCGGUUCUAUUUUGUUGGUUUUCGGAACCCCGAGGUAAUGAUUAAUAGGGACAGAUGGGGGCAUUCGUAUUGCGACGUUAGAGGUGAAAUUCUUGGAUCGUCGCAAGACGGACAGAAGCGAAAGCAUUUGCCAAAAAUGUUUUCAUUAAUCAAGAACGAAAGUUAGAGGUUCGAAGGCGAUCAGAUACCGCCCUAGUUCUAACCAUAAACGAUGCCAGCUAGCGAUCCGCCGAAGUUCCUCCGAUGACUCGGCGGGCAGCUUCCGGGAAACCAAAGCUUUUGGGUUCCGGGGGAAGUAUGGUUGCAAAGCUGAAACUUAAAGGAAUUGACGGAAGGGCACCACCAGGAGUGGAGCCUGCGGCUUAAUUUGACUCAACACGGGAAACCUCACCAGGCCCAGACACCGGAAGGAUUGACAGAUUGAUAGCUCUUUCUUGAUUCGGUGGGUGGUGGUGCAUGGCCGUUCUUAGUUGGUGGAGCGAUUUGUCUGGUUAAUUCCGAUAACGAACGAGACUCUAGCCUGCUAAAUAGGCGUACCUUAUGGUAUCGCGAAGGCCCCCGGCUUCGGCCGGUGGGUUUUUACUACCAACGUACAAACAAAUCUUCUUAGAGGGACAGGCGG
RNAcentral lists this ribosomal RNA (819 nucleotides) under uncultured eukaryote. RNAcentral's name for it is "SSU rRNA". It matches the Rfam family "Eukaryotic small subunit ribosomal RNA", at positions 629 to 1426 of the family's 1831-position model. The record is from RNAcentral.